AUCAUUUAUUGAUAAUAAAAGUGUUACAAAUACAAAGUUAAGCUCUUAAAUUAUAAAAUAUAUUGGCCAAUAAUUGGCUUCUAGGGUACUCAUCUAACACUAACUUGGAUAGUCUUUGAUGGAUCUUCUUCUUUCAAAGGUAUUGAGAUAAGCUGCUCGGUAGGUUCUUCUCGAUUUUCUUCUCCUUGCUAGUCUAACCCAUC
Molecule: long non-coding RNA, 203 nt
Filed under: Elaeis guineensis (African oil palm)
Lineage: Eukaryota; Viridiplantae; Streptophyta; Magnoliopsida; Arecales; Arecaceae
Description: long non-coding RNA (EGUI_LNC052876)
Source: RNAcentral